CCCUUAGAUGUUCUGGGCCGCACGCGCGCUACACUGUUCGACGCAGCGAGUCUUAACCUUGACCGAAAGGUUUGGGUAAUCUUCAGCAAAGUCGAACGUGAUGGGGAUCGAUCAUUGCAAUUAUUGAUCGUGAACGAGGAAUUCCUAGUAAGUGCAAGUCAUCAGCUUGCGCUGAUUACGUCCCUGCCCUUUGUACACACCGCCCGUCGCUACUACCGAUUGAAUGGUUUAGUGAGAUCUCUGGAUUGACGCUGGCUAGGGGGCGACCCUUGGCCAGACUGCUCGAGGAACUGCUCAAACUUGAUCAUUUAGAGGAAGUAAAAGUCGUAACA
This 332-nucleotide ribosomal RNA is filed under the name uncultured eukaryote. RNAcentral describes it as "partial 18S ribosomal RNA". It matches the Rfam family "Eukaryotic small subunit ribosomal RNA", at positions 1470 to 1796 of the family's 1831-position model. The record is from RNAcentral.